Molecule: ribosomal RNA, 453 nt
Filed under: uncultured bacterium
Lineage: Bacteria
Description: partial 16S ribosomal RNA
Rfam family: Bacterial small subunit ribosomal RNA
Source: RNAcentral
GAUGAACGCUGGUGGCGUGCCUAACACAUGCAAGUCGAGCGAUUCUCUUCGGAGAAGAGCGGCGGACGGGUGAGUAACGCGUGGGUAACCUGCCCUGUACACACGGAUAACAUACCGAAAGGUAUGCUAAUACGAGAUAACAUGCUUUUAUCGCAUGGUAGAAGUAUCAAAGCUUUUGCGGUACAGGAUGGACCCGCGUCUGAUUAGCUAGUUGGUGAGGUAACGGCUCACCAAGGCGACGAUCAGUAGCCGACCUGAGAGGGUGAUCGGCCACAUUGGAACUGAGACACGGUCCAAACUCCUACGAGAGGCAGCAGUGGGGAAUAUUGCACAAUGGGCGAAAGCCUGAUGCAGCAACGCCGCGUGAGCGAUGAAGGCCUUCGGGUCGUAAAGCUCUGUCCUCAAGGAAGAUAAUGACGGUACUUGAGGAGGAAGCCCCGGCUAACUACGUGC